GAGAAGCUGAAUGUGGACCACAGUGGAGAGUGCAGGACCAGACCAGGCUUACAGAAAUACUCCUGCCAGCUGACACUGGACCCCAACGCAGCAAACAGAUUCCUGUCUCUGUCAGAGGGGAACAGGAAGGUGACACGGGGGGCAGAGCAGCCAUAUCCUGAUCAUCCAAAGAGAUUUGACCGCAGCCCCCAAGUUCUGUGCAGAGAGAGUCUGACUGGCCGCUGUUACUGGGAGGCUGAGUGGGAUGGAGAUGAAGCCCGGAUAGGAGUGACUUAUAAAGGAAUCAGGAGGAAAGGAGAUGGUGAUGACUGUGUGCUUGGAGCCAAUGACAAGUCAUGGAUUUUGUGCUGUUAUCCUGACAGCUACUCUGUCUGGCACAAUAAUAAACAGACUAUCAUACCCAUAUGGCCCUCAGGCCCCUACAGAGUAGGAGUGUAUCUGGACUGGGGGGCUGGUGCUCUGUCCUUCUUCAGCAUCUCCUAUGAUGGACUGACCCUCCUGCACAGAUUCACCUCCUCAUUCACUGAGCCCCUUUAUGCAGGGUUUUUUGUUUACAAAAACUCCUCAGUGUCGCUGUGACAUGUUUCUGAUUCUCCUAGCAAAAAUGUAAAAUCUCUGCUUUUUAAUCUUUAUAAUCCUUUUUACUCUGAAAUGUAUGAUUGACAAAAAUAAAUGCCUGUGUUCAGUGAGUUGAAUAAACAUGAAAAAUAA
Molecule: non-coding RNA, 711 nt
Organism: Paramormyrops kingsleyae
Lineage: Eukaryota; Metazoa; Chordata; Actinopteri; Osteoglossiformes; Mormyridae
Source: RefSeq, a predicted model, not a curated record